GCCUACUUAACUCAACGGUUAGAGUAUUGUCUUCACACGGCGGGAGUUGUUGGUUCAAAUCCAAUAGCAAACA
Beta vulgaris subsp. vulgaris (sugar beet) is the source of this 73-nucleotide non-coding RNA. Lineage: Eukaryota; Viridiplantae; Streptophyta; Magnoliopsida; Caryophyllales; Amaranthaceae. The record is from Rfam.